AUUGAACGCUGGCGGCAGGCCUAACACAUGCAAGUCGAGCGGAUGAAGGGAGCUUGCUCCUGGAUUCAGCGGCGGACGGGUGAGUAAUGCCUAGGAAUCUGCCUGGUAGUGGGGGAUAACGUCCGGAAACGGGCGCUAAUACCGCAUACGUCCUGAGGGAGAAAGUGGGGGAUCUUCGGACCUCACGCUAUCAGAUGAGCCUAGGUCGGAUUAGCUAGUUGGUGGGGUAAAGGCCUACCAAGGCGACGAUCCGUAACUGGUCUGAGAGGAUGAUCAGUCGCACUGGAACUGAGACACGGUCCAGACUCCUACGGGAGGCAGCAGUGAGGAAUAUUGGACAAUGGGCGAAAGCCUGAUCCAGCCAUGCCGCGUGUGUGAAGAAGGUCUUCGGAUUGUAAAGCACUUUAAGUUGGGAGGAAGGGCAGUAAGUUAAUACCUUGCUGUUUUGACGUUACCAACAGAAUAAGCACCGGCUAACUUCGUG
RNAcentral lists this ribosomal RNA (484 nucleotides) under uncultured bacterium. RNAcentral describes it as "partial 16S ribosomal RNA". It matches the Rfam family "Bacterial small subunit ribosomal RNA", at positions 30 to 507 of the family's 1533-position model. The record is from RNAcentral.